This 1004-nucleotide long non-coding RNA is filed under the name Macaca fascicularis (crab-eating macaque). RNAcentral describes it as "lncRNA (ENSMFAG00000056080.1)". Lineage: Eukaryota; Metazoa; Chordata; Mammalia; Primates; Cercopithecidae. The record is from RNAcentral.
AUAGCCACCUAGUUUUAGGAGUACCGCGGCAAGAACUAUUGACCCUGCAAUGGGGGCUUCAACAUGGGCUUUGGGGAGCCACAAGUGUAAGCCAUACAGGGGUAUUUUUGUCAUAAAAGCUAUUAUGCAUGCUAGUCAGGCAAAGUUAUGAGAUCAAGUGGUUGUUAGUUUUUGGUCUGUGAGUGUUAGUAAUGUAAUAUUUAAUGAGCCUGUGUUGUUGUAGGUGUGGCUUAGUAUGAUGAGUAGGGGUAGAGAGCCGGUUAGUGUGUAGAAUAGAAAAUAUGUACUUGCGUUAAGACGUUCUGCUUGGCUGCCUCAUUUGGUAAUAAUAAGUAGGGUAGGAAUAAGAGUAGUUUCAAAUAGGAUGUAGAAUAUAAUUAGGUCUGUGGCUAUGAAUGUUAGAAUUAGGGUGAUUUGUAGGAGAACUAUUAUGAAGAGGAAGAAUUUCUUUUGUGAGGGGGGUUCAUUGCAUAGGUGGUAUUGGCUCGCUAUAAUUAUGAGAGGCAGGAGUCAGAUGGUUAGUGUUAGGAGGGGUGUUGUUAGUGGGUCAGAGGAUAUGUAGGUUGAGUGAUUGAGGAGGUUGGUGUUGGUUUGGUUGAAGAAUAGUAAGGGAAUGAGGCUAAUAGCUAGGCUGUGUAUAGUCAAGUUGAUUCAGAUUGUAUUGUUUUUGGAGAGUCAUGUUAUAGGUAGUAGCAUGGUUGUAGGGAUAAUUAUUUUUAGCAUUGAAGCAGGUUUAGGUUGUGAAUAUAAUCUAGUCCGUAUGUAUUGGAGAUUGAGAUUAGUAAGGCAAGACCUACUGCUGCCUCGCAAGCGGCAAAUACUAGCAGAAUGAUGGGUAUAAUAUUGAUUAGGGGGAAGUGUGUGUUCGAGGCAAUAAGGGUAGUUAUAAUAAAGAGCGAUAUCAUCAUUCCUUCUAGGCAGAGGAGAGAAGCUAUUAGGUGUGAGCGGUAGGUUAAUAUGCCCAGAAGGGAGAUGGUAAAUGCUAGUAUAAUAUUUAUAUAGGU